This 489-nucleotide ribosomal RNA is filed under the name Dunaliella salina. Its description in RNAcentral is "small subunit ribosomal RNA". It matches the Rfam family "Bacterial small subunit ribosomal RNA", at positions 1025 to 1520 of the family's 1533-position model. The record is from RNAcentral. Lineage: Eukaryota; Viridiplantae; Chlorophyta; Chlorophyceae; Chlamydomonadales; Dunaliellaceae.
UAUAGAAAAAAGAGAGUUGCAUGGCUAGAAACAACGUAGUCUUAGACUAUGUUCAUUGAAAUAUAGUCGAAAGAGUAUCCUUUUCAUAAGGAGUCCGUAAGUCGUCAUGGCCUUUAUAGAAUGGGCAACACGCGUGAUACUAGGAACUGAACAGAUACGAAAAACAUAAGUAAACCAGUUCAAUCAGAAAAUGGAUUGUAUCUUGCAAAUAGAUGCAUGAAAAAGGAAUAGCGAGUAAUCGAGAAUCAUCCACGUCUCGGUGAAGAGAAUAGUAACUUUUCUUAACAGUUACAACUACAAUACCGCCUCCGGUUUUAUAAUAUAAUUUAUUGUAGUUUGAGGUCUAUGGUGCACACAUUGCCCUUCGCUGGCUAAAAGCAUUAAUGCGUCGAAGGAGUAGCCAAAUGAGUUAUGCGGCUAUACCGAAUCGUAUUGAUGUAAUUGGCCAAAAGUAGUAACAAAGUUGGAGUAGGGGAACCUGCCCCAGAG